This 499-nucleotide ribosomal RNA is filed under the name Plutomurus unidentatus. Its description in RNAcentral is "partial large subunit ribosomal RNA". It matches the Rfam family "Bacterial large subunit ribosomal RNA", at positions 1826 to 2610 of the family's 2925-position model. Lineage: Eukaryota; Metazoa; Arthropoda; Collembola; Entomobryomorpha; Tomoceridae. The record is from RNAcentral.
ACAUUUCUUUUAGAAAAAAAAUAAAAAGUAAGGCCUGCCCACUGUAUAUAUGAAGGGCCGCGGUAUUUUGACCGUGCAAAGGUAGCAUAAUCAUUAGUCUUUUAAUUGGGGAAUGGGAUGAAUGGCUUAACAAAUUAUUUCUAUUAGUUUAUAAGAGUUGAACUUAAAUUUUAAGUGAAAAUUCUUAAAGUUUUUAAAGGGACGAUAAGACCCUAUAGAAUUUUAUUAUUAUAAUUGUAAAAAUUAUACAAUAUAAUAUUUUUGCUGGGGCAGUAAAUGAAUAAAUACAAUUUCUUAUAUAUAUAUGGUUUAUAAAAAAAAGAUUAUCUAAUUUUUUAAAAAAUAAAUAAAUUACCUUAGGGAUAACAGCGUAAUUAUUUUUAUGAGUUCAUAUCGACAAAAUAGUUUGCGACCUCGAUGUUGAAUUAAAAUUCCUUUAUGGGGCAGUUUUUAUAAAAGGUAGUCUGUUCGACCUAAAAAUUUUUUACAUGAUUUGAGU